Caenorhabditis elegans is the source of this 117-nucleotide non-coding RNA. Lineage: Eukaryota; Metazoa; Nematoda; Chromadorea; Rhabditida; Rhabditidae. The record is from Ensembl.
AAAAAAGAGCUUAAGUGUGUCAAGUGAUCCCCUUUGAUGGAUGGAAGGGAAAGAAGCCCCAAAAAUUUUUGUGUGCUGGGUUUUGUGACUCAAUGUUUGCACUUGCUCCCUCAAUUG